GUUACCUACGGGAGGCAGCAGUGAGGAAUAUUGGUCAAUGGGCGCGAGCCUGAACCAGCCAAGUCGCGUGAGGGAAGACGGUCCUAUGGAUUGUAAACCUCUUUUGUCGGGGAGCAAAAGACGCCACGUGUGGCGUUCCGAGAGUACCCGAAGAAAAAGCAUCGGCUAACUCCGUGCCAGCAGCCGCGGUAAUACGGAGGAUGCGAGCGUUAUCCGGAUUUAUUGGGUUUAAAGGGUGCGCAGGCGGCGUGGCAAGUCAGAUGUGAAAACCCGGGGCCCAACCCCGGGAGUGCAUUUGAAACUGC
This 305-nucleotide ribosomal RNA is filed under the name uncultured bacterium. RNAcentral describes it as "bacterial SSU rRNA". It matches the Rfam family "Bacterial small subunit ribosomal RNA", at positions 334 to 636 of the family's 1533-position model. The record is from RNAcentral.